CGAACGGACGAGAAGCUUGCUUCUCUGAUGUUAGCGGCGGACGGGUGAGUAACACGUGGAUAACCUACCUAUAAGACUGGGAUAACUUCGGGAAACCGGAGCUAAUACCGGAUAAUAUUUUGAACCGCAUGGUUCAAAAGUGAAAGACGGUCUUGCUGUCACUUAUAGAUGGAUCCGCGCUGCAUUAGCUAGUUGGUAAGGUAACGGUUACCAAGGCAACGAUGCAUAGCCGACCUGAGAGGGUGAUCGGCCACACUGGAACUGAGACACGGUCCAGACUCCUACGGGAGGCAGCAGUAGGGAAUCUUCCGCAAUGGGCGAAAGCCUGACGGAGCAACGCCGCGUGAGUGAUGAAGGUCUUCGGAUCGUAAAACUCUGUUAUUAGGGAAGAACAUAUGUGUAAGUAACUGUGCACAUCUUGACGGUACCUAAUCAGAAAGCCACGGCUAACUACGUGCCAGCAGCCGCGGUAAUACGUAGGUGGCAAGCGUUAUCCGGAAUUAUUGGGCGUAAAGCGCGCGUAGGCGGUUUUUUAAGUCUGAUGUGAAAGCCCACGGCUCAACCGUGGAGGGUCAUUGGAAACUGGAGAACUUGAGUGCAGAAGAGGAUAGUGGAAUUCCAUGUGUAGCGGUGAAAUGCGCAGAGAUAUGGAGGAACACCAGUGGCGAAGGCGACUUUCUGGUCUGUAACUGACGCUGAUGUGUGAAAGCGUGGGGAUCAAACAGGAUUAGAUACCCUGGUAGUCCACGCCGUAAACGAUGAGUGCUAAGUGUUAGGGGGUUUCCGCCCCUUAGUGCUGCAGCUAACGCAUUAAGCACUCCGCCUGGGGAGUACGACCGCAAGUGAA
RNAcentral lists this ribosomal RNA (847 nucleotides) under uncultured Staphylococcus sp. RNAcentral describes it as "bacterial SSU rRNA". It matches the Rfam family "Bacterial small subunit ribosomal RNA", at positions 63 to 898 of the family's 1533-position model. The record is from RNAcentral. Lineage: Bacteria; Bacillati; Bacillota; Bacilli; Caryophanales; Staphylococcaceae.